This 1180-nucleotide ribosomal RNA is filed under the name Chloropicon mariensis. Its description in RNAcentral is "partial Bacterial large subunit ribosomal RNA". It matches the Rfam family "Bacterial large subunit ribosomal RNA", at positions 584 to 1827 of the family's 2925-position model. Lineage: Eukaryota; Viridiplantae; Chlorophyta; Chloropicophyceae; Chloropicales; Chloropicaceae. The record is from RNAcentral.
CUUUGUGCUGUGACCGCGUGCUUUUUGCAUAACGAGCCGGCGAGUUACGCGUCUGCGGCAAGGUUAAGCGAUGAGCGGAGCCGAAGGGAAACCGAGUCCUAACAGGGCGAGCAGUCGUAGGCGGUAGACCCGAAACUGAGCGAGCUACCCAUGGGCAGGUUGAAGCGGCCGUAACGGGCCGUGGAGGACCGAACCCACCGAUGUUGAAAAAUCGGGGGAGGACCCGUGGGGAGGAGUGAAAGUCUUAUCAAACCUGGAGAUAGCUCGUUCUCUCCGAAAUGGCUUUAGGGCCAGCCUCGGGCAGUACCUGGCGGGGGUAGAGCGACGGAAUUCGGCCGGGGGGCUUCCCGCCUACCCGCCGAAACCCAACUCCGAAUACCGCCAGGCGGACCCCGGGAGUCAGAGCGUGGGGGAUAAGCUUCACGCUCGAGAGGGAAACAACCCAGACCGCCGACCAAGGCCCCCAAGUUGACGCUCAGUGGCAAAGGAAGUGGGAUCGCGGUGACAGCCGGGAUGUUGGCUUAGAAGCAGCCACCAUUUCAAAAGUGCGUAACAGCUUACCGGUCGAGCCAUCCCGCGCCGAAAAUGACGGGGACUCAAGCGUCACGCCGCAGUCGCGGGUUCGAGAAAUCGAGCAGUAGGAGAGCGUCGCCAUCAGCGGCGAAGCCGUACGGCAACGAACGGUGGAGCGGUGGCGAGUGCGUAUGCCGGAAUGAGUAACGAUAAGACGGGUGGGAAGCCCGUCCGCCGAAAGCACAAGGUUUCCUGGGGAAGGUCAAUCCGCCCAGGGUCAGUCGGGACCUAAGGCGAGGCCCAAGGGCGUAGCCGAUGGGCACGCGGUUAAUAUUCCGCGACCCGAUGGUGAGGUUGAAGCGGCGAGGACGCCGGGAAAUGAGGGGUCGGGGCGCUAGAUCACCCCGUCCCGCAAGGGCGACGGCAUUCGAUCCGGAAGCCCCUCUUCACCCGGCCGCGAAAAGCCCGCCGUGGACGAACCAUCGGCCCGUACCGCAAUCCGACACAGGUGUGCUAGGCGAGCAUCCGAAGGCGUUCGGGAGAACCCUCGUGAAGGAACUCGGCAAAAUGACCCCGUACCUUCGGUAUAAGGGGUGCUCAUCCCGCGAGGGGUGAGCCGCAGAGAAUCGGCUCUAGCGACUGUUUAUCAAAAACACAGGACUCUGCC